This 464-nucleotide ribosomal RNA is filed under the name uncultured bacterium. Its description in RNAcentral is "SSU rRNA". It matches the Rfam family "Bacterial small subunit ribosomal RNA", at positions 26 to 518 of the family's 1533-position model. The record is from RNAcentral.
AGGACGAACGCUGGCGGCGUGCUUAACACAUGCAAGUCGAACGAGGCGCUUGCGCCUAGUGGCGAACGGGUGAGUAACACGUGAGCAACCUGCCCUUGGCUCUGGGAUAGCCUCCGGAAACGGGGAUUAAUACCGGACAUGACCUUCUCCUGCAUGGGGGAGGGUGGAAAGUUUUUCGGCCAGGGAGGGCUCGCGGCCUAUCAGCUUGUUGGGGGGGUAACGGCCCACCAAGGCGACGACGGGUAGCCGGCCUGAGAGGGUGUCCGGCCACACUGGGACUGAGAUACGGCCCAGACUCCUACGGGAGGCAGCAGUGGGGAAUAUUGCACAAUGGGCGCAAGCCUGAUGCAGCGACGCCGCGUGAGGGAUGACGGCCUUCGGGUUGUAAACCUCUUCAGUAUCGACGAAGCGCAAGUGACGGUAGGUACAGAAGAAGCACCGGCCAACUACGCGCCAGCAGCCGC